RNAcentral lists this ribosomal RNA (1427 nucleotides) under uncultured prokaryote. RNAcentral describes it as "partial 16S ribosomal RNA". It matches the Rfam family "Bacterial small subunit ribosomal RNA". The record is from RNAcentral.
UGAUCCUGGCUCAGGAUGAACGCGAGCGGCAGGCCUAACACAUGCAAGCCGAGGGGUAAGACCCGACUUGUCGGGAACACGACCGGCGAACGGGUGAGUAACGCGUAUGCAACCUACCUUUAACCGAAGAAUAGCUCUCGGAAACGAGAAUUAAUGCUUCAUAAUACUUAAGGAACGCAUGUUUCUAAAGUUAAAGUUCCGACGGUUUGAGAUGGGCAUGCGUAACAUUAGCUUGUUGGUGAGGUAACGGCUCACCAAGGCUACGAUGUUUAUGGGGUCUGAGAGGAUGAUCCCACACACUGGUACUGAGACACGGACCAGACUCCUACGGGAGGCAGCAGUGAGGAAUAUUGGGCAAUGGGUGAAAGCCUGACCCAGCCAUGCCGCGUGAAGGAUGACAGCCUUCGGGUUGUAAACUUCUUUUAUACGGGAAGAAACCUACCGACGUGUCGGUAGCUGACGGUACCGUAAGAAUAAGCAUCGGCUAACUCCGUGCCAGCAGCCGCGGUAAUACGGAGGAUGCGAGUGUUAUCCGGAUUUAUUGGGCUUAAAGGGUGCGUAGGCGGAAUAGUAAGUCAGUGGUGAAAUCCUGCAGCUUAACUGUAGAACUGCCAUUGAUACUGCUAAUCUUGAGUGUAGUUGAGGUGGGCGGAAUGUGUAAUGUAGCGGUGAAAUGCAUAGAUAUUACACAGAACACCGAUUGCGAAGGCAGCUCACUAAACUAUUACUGACGCUAAGGCACGAAAGCGUGGGGAGCGAACAGGAUUAGAUACCCUGGUAGUCCACGCCGUAAACGUUGAUUACUCGCUGCUGGCAAUACAUCGUCAGUGGCUGAGCGAAAGCAUUAAGUAAUCCGCCUGGGAAGUACGUUCGCAAGGAUGAAACUCAAAGGAAUUGACGGGGGCCCGCACAAGCGGAGGAACAUGUGGUUUAAUUCGAUGAUACGCGAGGAACCUUACCUGGGCUCAAACGCAAGCGACCGUCUCGGAAACGAGAUUUCCCUUCGGGGCGCGAAGCGAGGUGCUGCAUGGCUGUCGUCAGCUCGUGCCGUGAGGUGUCGGGUUAAGUCCCAUAACGAGCGCAACCCCUAUUCUUAGUUGCCAGCGGAUAAUGCCGGGGACUCUAAGAAAACUGCCAGCGUAAGCUGUGAGGAAGGUGGGGAUGACGUCAAGUCAGCACGGCCCUUAUGUCCAGGGCUACACACGUGUUACAAUGGCCAGUACAGAAGGCUGCUAACUGGUGACAGUGUGCUAAUCUCUAAAGCAGGCCUCAGUUCGGAUUGGAGUCUGCAACUCGACUCCAUGAAGCUGGAAUCGCUAGUAAUCGCGCAUCAGCCAUGGCGCGGUGAAUACGUUCCCGGGUCUUGUACACACCGCCCGUCAAACCAUGGAAGCUUGGGGUACCUGAAGUCCGUACCGCAAGGAGCG